Molecule: long non-coding RNA, 555 nt
Organism: Rhinopithecus roxellana (golden snub-nosed monkey)
Lineage: Eukaryota; Metazoa; Chordata; Mammalia; Primates; Cercopithecidae
Exons: 3
Source: RefSeq, a predicted model, not a curated record
AAGAGGGACAGUUCUGGGAAGUUUGGACUGCAUAGGCAGGUGCAUAAGGAGUCUCAGGAAUGCUGCUGGCUUCAGAUUCUGAUCCCUGUGUCACCUCUCACCCUCAUGUGAGUACAGAUGGAGUCACAUUUCUGAGCCUACAGAGCUGAGGGCAAGACCUGAGAAUGGUGAUGUCAAAAUGCCAACCAGCAAGACCUCUUGGUGGUUAUUCAGCCAGCCUUUUCUUGUGCCGUUCCACAGUCUUGACUGAGACCUUUUUUAGAUGUCACCUUGAGAUGAGCUGUGUGAAUAUCCAAUUUAAAAAGGUGCAGAAGGAAACUCUGUGCUUGCUUGUGCGCCUCCUGUGCUUGGACAUCAGAAUCCAGGUUCUUCAGCCUUCGGACUCUAGGACUUGCACCAGCGGCUUCCCAAGGGCUCUCAGGCCUUAAGCCACAGACCGAUGACUGUAUUGUCAGCUUCCCUGGUUUGAGGCUUUUGGACUUGGACUGAGCCGCUACUGGCUUCUCUCUUUCCCAGCUUGCAGACAGUCUAUCAUAGGACUUUGCCUUGUAAUUG